UUUCCGUAGGUGAACCUGCGGAAGGAUCAUUAUUGGAUUUUGAAACUUCAGGCUGCUGCUGGCUCUCCUCGGAGGGCAUGUGCACGCUUGUUGUCCAUUAUUUCUCCCACUGUGCACAAAUUGUAGACCUUUCAGUAGGCCUAUGUUGUUUUUCAAAAUCUCUGAAUGUAAUAGAAUGGUUUUGAAUCUUGGGAAAUACAAUACAACUUUCAGCAACGGAUCUCUUGGCUCUC
Molecule: unclassified non-coding RNA, 233 nt
Filed under: plant metagenome
Description: partial contains small subunit ribosomal RNA, internal transcribed spacer 1, and 5.8S ribosomal RNA
Source: RNAcentral